AACGAACGCUGGCGGCAGGCCUAACACAUGCAAGUCGAGCGCCCCAGCGAUGGGGAGCGGCGGACGGGUGAGUAACGCGUGGGAACGUGCCUCUUGCUACGGAAUAGCCUCGGGAAACUGGGAGUAAUACCGUAUGUGCCCUACGGGGGAAAGAUUUAUCGGCAAGAGAUCGGCCCGCGUUGGAUUAGGUAGUUGGUGGGGUAAUGGCCUACCAAGCCGACGAUCCAUAGCUGGUUUGAGAGGAUGAUCAGCCACACUGGGACUGAGACACGGCCCAGACUCCUACGGGAGGCAGCAGUGGGGAAUCUUAGACAAUGGGCGCAAGCCUGAUCUAGCCAUGCCGCGUGAGCGAUGAAGGCCUUAGGGUUGUAAAGCUCUUUCAGUGGGGAAGAUAAUGACUGUACCCACAGAAGAAGCCCCGGCUAACUCCGUGCCAGCAGCCGCGGUAAAGUCUGUACU
This 459-nucleotide ribosomal RNA is filed under the name uncultured bacterium. Its description in RNAcentral is "bacterial SSU rRNA". It matches the Rfam family "Bacterial small subunit ribosomal RNA", at positions 29 to 531 of the family's 1533-position model. The record is from RNAcentral.